UACGUAGGGUGCAAGCGUUGUCCGGAAUUAUUGGGCGUAAAGGGCUCGUAGGCGGUUUGUCGCGUCGGGAGUGAAAUCCACUGGCUUAACUGGUGGCUUGCUUUCGAUACGGGCAGACUAGAGGUAUGCAGGGGAGAACGGAAUUCCCGGUGUAGCGGUGAAAUGUGUAGAGAUCGGGAGGAACACCGGUGGCGAAGGCGGGUCUCUGGGCAAUUCCUGACGCUGAGGCGCGAAAGCGUGGGGAGCAAACAGG
This 253-nucleotide ribosomal RNA is filed under the name uncultured bacterium. RNAcentral describes it as "partial 16S ribosomal RNA". It matches the Rfam family "Bacterial small subunit ribosomal RNA", at positions 524 to 776 of the family's 1533-position model. The record is from RNAcentral.